UACGGAGGGUGCAAGCGUUAUCCGGAUUCACUGGGUUUAAAGGGUGCGUAGGUGGGCAGGUAAGUCAGUGGUGAAAUCCCCGAGCUUAACUUGGGAACUGCCGUUGAUACUAUCUGUCUUGAAUGCUGUGGAGGUAAGCGGAAUAUGUCAUGUAGCGGUGAAAUGCUUAGAGAUGACAUAGAACACCAAUUGCGAAGGCAGCUUGCUACACAGAAAUUGACACUGAGGCACGAAAGCGUGGGGAGCAAACAGG
This 253-nucleotide ribosomal RNA is filed under the name uncultured bacterium. Its description in RNAcentral is "partial 16S ribosomal RNA". It matches the Rfam family "Bacterial small subunit ribosomal RNA", at positions 524 to 776 of the family's 1533-position model. The record is from RNAcentral.